RNAcentral lists this ribosomal RNA (606 nucleotides) under Helicostylum pulchrum. RNAcentral's name for it is "eukaryotic LSU rRNA". It matches the Rfam family "Eukaryotic large subunit ribosomal RNA", at positions 99 to 619 of the family's 3401-position model. The record is from RNAcentral. Lineage: Eukaryota; Fungi; Mucoromycota; Mucoromycetes; Mucorales; Mucoraceae.
AGGAAAGAGCUCAAAGUUGGAACCUGUUUGGCUUAGCUAAACCGGAUUGUAAACUGUAGAAGUGUUUUCCAGACACGCCUGGUAAAAAAGUCCUUUGGAACAGGGCAUCAUAGAGGGUGAGAAUCCCGUCUUUGGCCAGAGCUGUUGUCUUUUGUGAUACAUUUUCAAAGAGUCAGGUUGUUUGGGAAUGCAGCCUAAAUUGGGUGGUAAAUCUCACCUAAAGCUAAAUAUUUGCGAGAGACCGAUAGCGAACAAGUACCGUGAGGGAAAGAUGAAAAGAACUUUGAAAAGAGAGUUAAACAGUAUGUGAAAUUGUUAAAAGGGAACCGUUUGGAGCCAGACUGGCUUGACUGUAAUCAAUCUAGGCUUCGGCCUGGAUGCACUUGCGGUUUAUGCCUGCCAACGACAAUUUUUUUUGAGGGAAAAAACUAUUUGGAAUGUGGCCCUCCCUCGGGGGGGUGUUAUAGCCUUUUAGAAAAUACCUUGAAUUGGAUUGAGGAACGCAGUGAAUGCCUUUAGGCAAGAUUGCUGGGCGCUUUCGCUAAUAAAUGCUAGAAUUUCUGCUUCGGGUGGUGCUAGUGUUUAAAGGAGAAACUCGUCUGGUAU